RNAcentral lists this long non-coding RNA (466 nucleotides) under Homo sapiens (human). RNAcentral describes it as "non-protein coding lnc-PTPRK-2:1". Lineage: Eukaryota; Metazoa; Chordata; Mammalia; Primates; Hominidae. The record is from RNAcentral.
AUGAUGAACACACAGGGAAAGAGGAUAGGCACUGAUACAUGUUCUCCAGUCUAUUUGGAAAACAGGGAGUUGUUCAUUUGGCCAUGUACAUGCAAACUUAGAAGAAAGGUGAUACUGUAGACAUCAAGGGAAUGAGUCCUGUUCAAAAAGGAAUGCCUCACAAGUAUUACCAUGGCAAAAUUGGAAGAAUCUACAGUGUUACCCAGCAUGCUGUUGGCAGUGUUGUAAACAAGUUAAGGACAAGAUUCUUGCCAAGGGAAUUCAUGUGCAUAUUGAGCAUAUUAAGCACUCUAAGUGCCGAGACGGCUUCCUAAAACACAUAAAGGAAAAUGGUCAGAGAAAGAAGCCAAAGAGAAAGGUUCCUGGGUUCAACUGAAGCACCAGCCUGCUCCACCCAGGGAAACAUACUUUGUGAGAACCAAAGCCUGAGCUGCUGGAACCUGUCCCCUAUGCAGUCAGGGCAUAA